GGGGGUAUAGCUCAGCUGUACAGCAUUUGACUGCAGACAAAAAGGUCCCUGGUUCAAAUCCUGGGUUCCCCU
Molecule: transfer RNA, 72 nt
Filed under: Salmo salar (Atlantic salmon)
Lineage: Eukaryota; Metazoa; Chordata; Actinopteri; Salmoniformes; Salmonidae
Rfam family: tRNA
About the family: Transfer RNA (tRNA) molecules are approximately 80 nucleotides in length. Their secondary structure includes four short double-helical elements and three loops (D, anti-codon, and T loops).
Source: Rfam by way of RNAcentral